GCAUAUCAAUAAGCGGAGGAAAAGAAACUAACAAGGGAUUCCCCUAGUAGCGGCGAGCGAAGCGGGAAAAGCUCAAAUUUGUAAUCUGGCGUCUACGACGUCCGAGUUGUAAUCUCGAGAAGUGUUUUCCGUGAUAGACCGCAUACAAGUCUCUUGGAACAGAGCGUCAUAGUGGUGAGAACCCAGUACACGAUGCGGAUGCCUAUUACUUUGUGAUACACUUUCGAAGAGUCGAGUUGUUUGGGAAUGCAGCUCAAAUUGGGUGGUAAAUUCCAUCUAAAGCUAAAUAUUGGCGAGAGACCGAUAGCGAACAAGUACCGUGAGGGAAAGAUGAAAAGCACUUUGGAAAGAGAGUUAACAGUACGUGAAAUUGUUGGAAGGGAAACACAUGCAGCCAGACUUGCUAUUCGGGGCAACUCGAUUGGCAGGCCCGCAUCAGUUUUUCGGGGCGGAAAAUCAUAGAGAGAAGGUAGCAAUUUCGGUUGUGUUAUAGCUCUUUAUUGGAUUCGCCCUGGGGGACUGAGGAACGCAGCGUGCUUUUAGCAUAAGCUUCGGCUUAUCCACGCUUAGGAUGCGGGUGUAAUGGCUGUAUAUGACCCGUCUUGAAACACGGACC
RNAcentral lists this ribosomal RNA (616 nucleotides) under uncultured fungus. Its description in RNAcentral is "eukaryotic LSU rRNA". It matches the Rfam family "Eukaryotic large subunit ribosomal RNA", at positions 38 to 667 of the family's 3401-position model. Lineage: Eukaryota; Fungi. The record is from RNAcentral.